UGACAAUGUGUGUAUGACCCCAUCCCC
Molecule: non-coding RNA, 27 nt
Filed under: Xenopus tropicalis (tropical clawed frog)
Lineage: Eukaryota; Metazoa; Chordata; Amphibia; Anura; Pipidae
Also listed under: 1 other name
Source: RNAcentral